UUCAUAAUAACUUAACGAAUCGCAUGGCCUUGCGCCGGCGAUGGUUCAUUCAAAUUUCUGCCCUAUCAACUUUCGAUGGUAGGAUAGUGGCCUACCAUGGUCUCAACGGGUAACGGGGAAUUAGGGUUCUAUUCCGGAGAGGGAGCCUGAGAAACGGCUACCACAUCCAAGGAAGGCAGCAGGCGCGCAAAUUACCCAAUCCCAAUUCGGGGAGGUAGUGACAAUAAAUACUGAUACAGGGCUCUUUCGGGUCUUGUAAUUGGAAUGAGUACAAUCUAAAUCCCUUAACGAGGAACAAUUGGAGGGCAAGUCUGGUGCCAGCAGCCGCGGUAAUUCCAGCUCCAAUAGCGUAUAUUAAAGUUGUUGCCGUUAAAAAGCUCGUAGUUGAACCUUGGGUCUGGCUGAUCUGUCCUCCUAAUCGAGCGCACGGAUUCGGUCGGACCUUUCCUUCUGGGGAGCCGCAUGCCCUUCACUGGGCGUGUCGGGGAACCAGGACUUUUACCUUGAAAAAAUUAGAGUGUUCAAAGCAGGCCUUUGCUCGAAUACAUUAGCAUGGAAUAAUAGAAUAGGACAGAGGUUCUAUUUUGUUGGUUUCUAGGACCGCUGUAAUGAUUAAUAGGGAUAGUCGGGGGCGUCCGUAUUCAAUUGUCAGAGGUGAAAUUCUUGGAUUUAUUGAAGACGAACUACUGCGAAAGCAUUCGCCAAGGAUGUUUUCAUUAAU
Molecule: ribosomal RNA, 721 nt
Filed under: Trichomerium leigongense
Lineage: Eukaryota; Fungi; Ascomycota; Eurotiomycetes; Chaetothyriales; Trichomeriaceae
Description: SSU rRNA
Rfam family: Eukaryotic small subunit ribosomal RNA
Source: RNAcentral